Molecule: long non-coding RNA, 664 nt
Organism: Gallus gallus (chicken)
Lineage: Eukaryota; Metazoa; Chordata; Aves; Galliformes; Phasianidae
Source: Ensembl
GGACGCACUGGCAUUACUUACUUUGAGGCAAACUGUACCUGGAUGUUUGCAGAGGACUGAUGGGAGCUGCUGUGUGGCCUUCAGGGAGAUGCAGACAUCCUUUGAGCACACUUGUAUCUUCACAGCACAUCCUGGGGUUUAACCCACGCCAGUGGGACUCAAGAAGGAGGACCAUACACCUAUCCAUGCCAUCAGCCCCUCAGCUGCAUAGGCUCCUGUCCCAGCUGGGCAUCAGGAAUGUGCUCGUGUGCUGUUCACACUCUGCUGGACCCUCGAACCAUAAGAACAACGCAUGGCCGGAUCCCUGUGUUCAGAUGCCCAGUUGAACUGAGAGGUAUUUCACUUAUGAGGACAAACGUUGGACGUAGAGGUAACAACUUAAGAAUGUGAAGUUUGUAUUACUGGGAAACUAUUCUCUGUACUCUGUUCUUCUCUGAAUUCCCAGGUUAAAAUCAAACAAUCAAAGCUGUGUAAGAGGAUCUCAUAAGGAUUCUAUUGAGUAGAUUUAAUUUAAUAAAAGCUACCAUUCCAUCUUAUUUAAAUUCUGAUUCUAACAACUGGUUAGAGGUCCAGGGGCACUGGACCUCUAAUUUCAGGUCCAAGGGCACUGAGAGCACACUGUACUGAUCCCUGCAAUUCUCCAUAUCCUUCUGUGAGUGACAGG